Molecule: ribosomal RNA, 507 nt
Filed under: uncultured bacterium
Lineage: Bacteria
Description: partial 16S ribosomal RNA
Rfam family: Bacterial small subunit ribosomal RNA
Source: RNAcentral
GAUGAACGCUAGCUAUAGGCUUAACACAUGCAAGUCGAGGGGAAACGAUAGAGAAAGCUUGCUUUUUCUAGGCGUCGACCGGCGCACGAGUGAGUAACGCGUAUCCAACCUGCCCACCACUUGGGAUAACCUUGCGAAAGUAAGACUAAUACCCAAUGAUAUCUCUAGAAGACAUCCGAAAGAGAUUAAAGAUUUAUCGGUGAUGGAUGGGGAUGCGUCUGAUUAGCUUGUUGGCGGGGUAACGGCCCACCAAGGCGACGAUCAGUAGGGGUUCUGAGAGGAAGGUCACCCACAUUGGAACGGAGACACGGUCCAAACUCCUACGGGAGGCAGCAGUGAGGAAUAUUGGUCAAUGGGCGUGAGCCUGAACCAGCCAAGUAGCGUGCAGGAUGACGGCCCUAUGGGUUGUAAACUGCUUUUAUAAGGGAAUAAAGUGAGUCUCGUGAGACUUUUUGCAUGUACCUUAUGAAUAAGGACCGGCUAAUUCCGUGCCAGCAGCCGCCGUAA